RNAcentral lists this ribosomal RNA (473 nucleotides) under Cladosporium cladosporioides. RNAcentral describes it as "eukaryotic LSU rRNA". The stretch from base 110 to 263 matches the Rfam family "5.8S ribosomal RNA". Lineage: Eukaryota; Fungi; Ascomycota; Dothideomycetes; Cladosporiales; Cladosporiaceae. The record is from RNAcentral.
CCGACUCUGUUGCCUCCGGGGCGACCCUGCCUUCGGGCGGGGGCUCCGGGUGGACACUUCAAACUCUUGCGUAACUUUGCAGUCUGAGUAAACUUAAUUAAUAAAUUAAAACUUUUAACAACGGAUCUCUUGGUUCUGGCAUCGAUGAAGAACGCAGCGAAAUGCGAUAAGUAAUGUGAAUUGCAGAAUUCAGUGAAUCAUCGAAUCUUUGAACGCACAUUGCGCCCCCUGGUAUUCCGGGGGGCAUGCCUGUUCGAGCGUCAUUUCACCACUCAAGCCUCGCUUGGUAUUGGGCAACGCGGUCCGCCGCGUGCCUCAAAUCGACCGGCUGGGUCUUCUGUCCCCUAAGCGUUGUGGAAACUAUUCGCUCAAGGGUGCUCGGGAGGCUACGCCGUAAAACAAACCCAUUUCUAAGGUUGACCUCGGAUCAGGUAGGGAUACCCGCUGAACUUAAGCAUAUCAAUAGUCGGAGG